UACAGAGGGGGCAAGCGUUAUUCGGAAUUAUUGGGCGUAAAGGGCGCGUAGGCGGCUUGGCAAGUGGAAGGUGAAAUCCCUCGGCUUAACCGAGGAACUGCCCUCCAAACUGCUUUGCUUGAGGCCGGGAGAGGUGAGUGGAAUUCCCAGUGUAGCGGUGAAAUGCGUAGAUAUCAGGAGGAACACCGGUGGUGUAGACGGCUCUCUGGACCGUAACUGACGCUGAGACACGAAAGCGUGGGUAGCAAACAGG
Molecule: ribosomal RNA, 253 nt
Filed under: uncultured bacterium
Lineage: Bacteria
Description: partial 16S ribosomal RNA
Rfam family: Bacterial small subunit ribosomal RNA
Source: RNAcentral